This 253-nucleotide ribosomal RNA is filed under the name uncultured bacterium. RNAcentral's name for it is "partial 16S ribosomal RNA". It matches the Rfam family "Bacterial small subunit ribosomal RNA", at positions 524 to 776 of the family's 1533-position model. The record is from RNAcentral.
UACGUAGGGGGCUAGCGUUGUCCGGAUUUAUUGGGCGUAAAGAGCGUGUAGGCGGCCAGAUAGGUCUGCUGUGAAAGCCCGGGGCUCAACUCCGGGUCUGCAGUGGAUACGGGCAGGCUAGAGUCCGGCAGGGGAGACUGGAAUUCCUGGUGUAGCGGUGAAAUGCGCAGAUAUCAGGAGGAACACCGGUGGCGAAGGCGGGUCUCUGGGCCGGUACUGACGCUGAGGAGCGAAAGCGUGGGGAGCGAACAGG